CUCCUGUGUAAAAGUUCCAUGGGAAAAAUCGAAGAGUGGCUGUGCUCAAGAAUCUCUAGGCUUGUGUUACAGUAGCCAUGUCUCUACCCUCACUAGUCCUUACAGUGGGGACAGCUGGAGCAGAGAUCAGCAGGAAAUCUCAGGAAUGGCUGUGUGAAAAGGGGCACGACUUAAUUGCGAGGAGCAACCCAGUCUUUGCUGGAGAUAAAGGCCUGGAGAUGACCGUGAACUCUCCUGGGAAAAGCAGAAGGAAGAAGAAGCAGCUACUUGGUAGAUGAGAUAAACGGGACCGCAUCCAGGAGAUGAGAGAAUGUUGCUGCGUGUGGACAAGGGGUCUGCACCGAUUGUGUGAGCGCUCUGGUCGCGUGAACAGAUUGUAAACCAAUCGUAGAGCUACCGUUAGCGCGUGCUCUGCUUGCCUGUCUAUAUAUACUUUGU
Molecule: long non-coding RNA, 438 nt
Organism: Calidris pugnax (ruff)
Lineage: Eukaryota; Metazoa; Chordata; Aves; Charadriiformes; Scolopacidae
Exons: 3
Source: RefSeq, a predicted model, not a curated record